AUCUGCCGUGGGCGCUGGAGAACUGAGGGGGGCUGCUCCUAGUACGAGAGGACCGGAGUGGACGCAUCACUGGUGUUCGGGUUGUCAUGCCAAUGGCACUGCCCGGUAGCUAAAUGCGGAAGAGAUAAGUGCUGAAAGCAUCUAAGCACGAAACUUGCCCCGAGAUGAGUUCUCCCUGACUCCUUGAGAGUCCUGAAGGAACGUUGAAGACGACGACGUUGAUAGGCCGGGUGUGUAAGCGCAGCGAUGCGUUGAGCUAACCGGUACUAAUGAACCGUGAGGCUUAACCUUACAACGCCGAAGCUGUU
This 308-nucleotide ribosomal RNA is filed under the name Escherichia coli. RNAcentral describes it as "partial 23S ribosomal RNA". It matches the Rfam family "Bacterial large subunit ribosomal RNA", at positions 2640 to 2925 of the family's 2925-position model. The record is from RNAcentral. Lineage: Bacteria; Pseudomonadati; Pseudomonadota; Gammaproteobacteria; Enterobacterales; Enterobacteriaceae.